AAAAAUUCUGACUACCCUCAAAUAUACAAAUGAUUCUAGUCUUCCCUGAUUUCUAAAAGGUCCUGAUACCAAACAUGAACCUGCAUUUUCAUCCAUCUUUGCAACCAGUAUUGAUAGAGUGGCUACUGUGACUUGCGCUGAGCUGGGUGGGCAUGCUUUAGGCACCCAGGGAAGCAAGGCAUGGUCUCUCACCUCAAGGAGCCCACCCACUUCCAGGAGAAACAGGUCUGUCCACUUGAAACUGCCCUGGUGUGAUGCAUGGCUUGCUGGAGGCAUGGAGAAGUGGGAAAAUUCUAACGUGAUUCGAGUUGGGACCUACUCAGAGAAUGGUUCAUAUAAGGAAGAAUAAGUACCCCGAUAUGGGUGGAUAAUUUCUCACAAGAGACAUAACUUGAGCAAAGAUACACAAACAUAAAAAGUAGCUUUGCCACUUCAUUCUUGGGCCCACGCUGAAGAACCAGUCUUUUUCUGAAACAUUGCUAAGAAUGUGGCAGAAGGAAGAGAUAUGGCAGAACUUCAUCAUGGCCCUGACAAACUCUGCUCUGAAAACCUUCAUGAUGGUGCUAAAAACUGACUCCCCCUGAGAGUUCCUUGGCUAAAUGAGUCACUUGGCCAAGCCUGACAUCCUCAGAGUGGGAAAACAAUCUUCCCAAAAUAAGGGCACCAUAAAUUACAUAGCCAAACCUCAUGUCAGUAGAAUGGCAGGUAAAAUCCUCCCACAAGGAGCAGCAUAUAUUUGGAAAUAAAAA
Molecule: long non-coding RNA, 749 nt
Filed under: Pan troglodytes (chimpanzee)
Lineage: Eukaryota; Metazoa; Chordata; Mammalia; Primates; Hominidae
Description: long non-coding RNA NONPTRT012581
Source: RNAcentral